AGUGAACGCUGGCGGUAGGCCUAACACAUGCAAGUCGAACGGCAGCACAGUAAGAGCUUGCUCUUACGGGUGGCGAGUGGCGGACGGGUGAGGAAUACAUCGGAAUCUACUUUUUCGUGGGGGAUAACGUAGGGAAACUUACGCUAAUGCCGCAUACGACCUACGGGUGAAAGCAGGGGAUCUUCGGACCUUGCGCGAUUGAAUGAGCCGAUGUCGGAUUAGCUAGUUGGCGGGGUAAAGGCCCACCAAGGCGACGAUCCGUAGCUGGUCUGAGAGGAUGAUCAGCCACACUGGAACUGAGACACGGUCCAGACUCCUACGGGAGGCAGCAGUGGGGAAUAUUGGACAAUGGGCGAAAGCCUGAUCCAGCCAUACCGCGUGGGUGAAGAAGGCCUUCGGGUUGUAAAGCCCUUUUGUUGGGAAAGAAAAGCAGCAGGUUAAUACCCCGCUGUUCUGACGGUACCCAAAGAAUAAGCACCGGCUAACUUCGUG
Molecule: ribosomal RNA, 492 nt
Filed under: uncultured bacterium
Lineage: Bacteria
Description: partial 16S ribosomal RNA
Rfam family: Bacterial small subunit ribosomal RNA
Source: RNAcentral